This 204-nucleotide long non-coding RNA is filed under the name Lathyrus oleraceus (garden pea). RNAcentral's name for it is "Pisum sativum (pea) long non-coding RNA (PSAT_LNC034285)". Lineage: Eukaryota; Viridiplantae; Streptophyta; Magnoliopsida; Fabales; Fabaceae. The record is from RNAcentral.
GAUAUCGCAUCCUAUGUCUACGUAUCUCAUCUGGAAUGAGAAUCAGAGCUACCGUAGUUCGGCUCACGCACGCCAAACAAAACACAAACAGGAAACCGACUGCCAAUCACUGGACUUAUGUCAGACUCCACACAAACAGGCAAACAUGGAAACCGAAUGCCAAUCGCUGGACUUACAUCAGACUCCGAACCAACAAACACACAC